GCGGGAGUAGUUUAGCGGUAGAACGCCAGCUUCCCAAGCUGGAUGUCACGGGUUCGAUCCCCGUCUUGUGCUACA
RNAcentral lists this transfer RNA (75 nucleotides) under Acidobacteriota bacterium. Its description in RNAcentral is "Acidobacteria bacterium tRNA-Gly". It matches the Rfam family "tRNA". From Rfam's summary of the family: Transfer RNA (tRNA) molecules are approximately 80 nucleotides in length. Their secondary structure includes four short double-helical elements and three loops (D, anti-codon, and T loops). The record is from RNAcentral. Lineage: Bacteria; Pseudomonadati; Acidobacteriota.